Caenorhabditis elegans is the source of this 896-nucleotide non-coding RNA. Lineage: Eukaryota; Metazoa; Nematoda; Chromadorea; Rhabditida; Rhabditidae. The record is from Ensembl.
CACAAUAGAAAGUUAAACCCAUCAAAAUGCAAACAUGAAGCGUGAGACACUAGGAAUACCAUUUUUUUUUGCAAAACUCUACAAAAAAUGAAACUGGAAAAAUGAGACGACGAGGAGUGGACGAUUCUCAUGUAUAUGCUAGUCAUUUCCCAGGAAUCCGGAACCUUCUCAAUUUCGUCGUGUCGACUUGAUACACGUACAAGAGCCCGUGUUCUGCUCUGAUGUCAUUUCGAAAGUGAGGGAUGGGUGGAAACGAGUGAGAUGUAACAACUCUCUUGUGGCUCGCUCACAUAUAUUGUAUGGCGAUUGAAGAAAGAUCAGAGAAGGUAUCGUCACAUCAAUCACUUAUUGUGUUGCUGUUAUUUGUAACUUUUUGGAAUGACUAGAGUGUUUUAAAAAGGUUUCGUUGAAAACUUUCUAAAAGUUUGAAAGUGGAGUGGGGAGGUUGUCAAAAACCACUUCUUUAAUGCCAAAGGAACCAAAUAUCAUAGUAAUACUUUUAAAAGAAUGGAAAUUUUUUUUUUGUUGAUAGUUUUAUAGUUUAGUUAUGGUUACAGUAAAACUUUUCAGUAAUUGUUAAAAAACACAUUUUAUUUUGUUUCAAAAAGUGGUACUUACUCAGUGAUAGCCAGUUUUUGACUGUCAAUAAAGAAUUUUCAAAAAACACAUUUUGAAAAGUUUGACAUGAUAUUUGACCAUUUUGGCAUUUUAAACGUUUUUCACCUUGAAUAAUUUUUUGAAAAUUUGAAAAUUUUGAAAUUAAAAUGAAAACUUGUCUAUCUUUGUUAAAGGUUCUAAGAAGGGUGAUCAAUUUUAAAAUAAAGAUUAUCUACAAAUCAAACAUUGCAGAAUGAAAUGUCAGAUUAAAAACACUUUUAGGUUUUUCAAAAUGUUAA